GCGACUCAUGCAGGCCCUGUUAAAGGGAAAUCCUUCAAGCGAAGGGGGCAGGGCUCAGCUGCCGUUGGGUCGGCGACUGCUGGCCAUGCCUCGCCGAUUCCUGUCACUGAAUCGGCGACUCGUGUGCUGGAGUCGGCGACUCCUAUGCUGAUAGAUGAUUCUUCCGCGCGUCGCACCGCACCAUUGGUCGUGAGCGCGGAAGGCCGUAUUGUGUCGGGACUGAACCCGAAUCAAGGUCCUUCUCUGAAGCGAAAGAGAAGGCGUACCACGGGAAAGGGCAAAGUACAUGUGCCCGAAGAGAAUGAAAGGGUCCCACCUCCUCUAAAUAUAAACUUCGAGGAGAUACUGACUGUGGACCG
This 359-nucleotide long non-coding RNA is filed under the name Zostera marina. RNAcentral describes it as "long non-coding RNA (ZMAR_LNC003386)". The record is from RNAcentral. Lineage: Eukaryota; Viridiplantae; Streptophyta; Magnoliopsida; Alismatales; Zosteraceae.